GAAAUGCGAUAAGUAAUGUGAAUUGCAGAAUUCAGUGAAUCAUCGAAUCUUUGAACGCACAUUGCGCCCGGCAGCAAUCUGCCGGGCAUGCCUGUCCGAGCGUCAUUUCUGCCCUCGAGCGCGGUUCGGCCCCUAGCGGGCCGGCCGCCGCCCGGUGUUGGGGCGCUGCGGGCCCUCGUGCCCGCAGGCCCUGAAAUGAAGUGGCGGUCCCGCCGCGGCGCCCCCUGCGUAGUAGUAAAGCACCUCGCAUCGGGUCCCGGCGGGGGCCAGCCGUCGAACCUCUCUUUUGAUGGUUUGACCUCGGAUCAGGUAGGGUUACCCGCUGAACUUAAGC
Molecule: unclassified non-coding RNA, 334 nt
Filed under: plant metagenome
Description: partial contains 5.8S ribosomal RNA, internal transcribed spacer 2, and large subunit ribosomal RNA
Rfam family: 5.8S ribosomal RNA (bases 1-105)
Source: RNAcentral